This 489-nucleotide long non-coding RNA is filed under the name Felis catus (domestic cat). RNAcentral describes it as "lncRNA (ENSFCAG00000050988.1)". The record is from RNAcentral. Lineage: Eukaryota; Metazoa; Chordata; Mammalia; Carnivora; Felidae.
AUGUCACAGGCACUAGUAUCUCUCGUACUUGAUGUCUUCAGGCGGUGCUGUUCCCUCCGCCCGGAGUGCUUCUCCACUGGAUUUCCAUGUCCUUCCAGACUUGAGUCUGUUAUCUGCAGGAAGAACCCCCAGUAUUUCACAGGGACGUCCAAGCCAGCGUGGAAGAAUGAAGGACCGCACCACCAGGCAGAAACUAAGGGGAGCAACCAGGAGGAAUGUGUCUUGUGUUGGAAGCUACGCAAAACGCCAGGAAGACAUGUCUGCUUUUCUCAUCUAUCAGAGUGUCCUCUUUCAGAGGGCUGGGACUGUCCCUGGAUUUCUUCAGCCUUGCCGUAGAACCUUGCUGAAUGAUAUGAAAAAGGAGAUAGUCGAUAGCAUUUGGGAAAUUGGGUUGUACGGUAAAUGACUUAAAAGAUGCAUAAAGUCUUGCUCUAGAGCAAGACAGUCCUAAACCCUUCUUUCACUUUUGACAUUUAAAUAAAAUACUUA